UAGGGAAUCUUCGGCAAUGGACGAAAGUCUGACCGAGCAACGCCGCGUGAGUGAAGAAGGUUUUCGGAUCGUAAAACUCUGUUGUUAGAGAAGAACAAGGACGUUAGUAACUGAACGUCCCCUGACGGUAUCUAACCAGAAAGCCACGGCUAACUACGUGCCAGCAGCCGCGGUAAUACGUAGGUGGCAAGCGUUGUCCGGAUUUAUUGGGCGUAAAGCGAGCGCAGGCGGUUUCUUAAGUCUGAUGUGAAAGCCCCCGGCUCAACCGGGGAGGGUCAUUGGAAACUGGGAGACUUGAGUGCAGAAGAGGAGAGUGGAAUUCCAUGUGUAGCGGUGAAAUGCGUAGAUAUAUGGAGGAACACCAGUGGCGAAGGCGGCUCUCUGGUCUGUAACUGACGCUGAGGGUCGAAAGCGUGGGGAGCAAACAGG
This 429-nucleotide ribosomal RNA is filed under the name Chloroflexota bacterium. RNAcentral's name for it is "Chloroflexi bacterium partial 16S ribosomal RNA". It matches the Rfam family "Bacterial small subunit ribosomal RNA", at positions 355 to 776 of the family's 1533-position model. The record is from RNAcentral. Lineage: Bacteria; Bacillati; Chloroflexota. RNAcentral also lists the same sequence under 1 other name.